CUGGGUUGAAGGUAGGGUGAGACUGUCAUUACUGUACUCUGGGUUGAAGGUAGGGUGAGACUGUCAUUACUGUACUCUGGGUUGAAGGUAGGGCGAGACUGUCAUUACUGUACUCUGGGUUGAAGGUAGGGCGAGACUGUCAUUACUGUACUCUGGGUUGAAGGUAGGGCGAGACUGUCAUUACUGUACUCUGGGUUGAAGGUAGGGCGAGACUGUCAUUACUGUACUCUGGGUUGAAGGUAGGGCGAGACUGUCAUUACUGUACUCUGGGUUGAAGGUAGGGCGAGACUGUCAUUACUGUACUCUGGGUUGAAGGUAGGGCGAGACUGUCAUUACUGUACUCUGGGUUGAAGGUAGGGCGAGACUGUCAUUACUGUACUCUGGGUUGAAGGUAGGGCGAGACUGUCAUUACUGUACUCUGGGUUGAAGGUAGGGCGAGACUGUCAUUACUGUACUCUGGGUUGAAGGUAGGGCGAGACUGUCAUUACUGUACUCUGGGUUGAAGGUAGGGCGAGACUGUCAUUACUGUACUCUGGGUUGAAGGUAGGGCGAGACUGUCAUUACUGUACUCUGGGUUGAAGGUAGGGCGAGACUGUCAUUACUGUACUCUGGGUUGAAGGUAGGGCGAGACUGUCAUUACUGUACUCUGGGUUGAAGGUAGGGCGAGACUGUCAUUACUGUACUCUGGGUUGAAGGUAGGGCGAGACUGUCAUUACUGUACUCUGGGUUGAAGGUAGGGCGAGACUGUCAUUACUGUACUCUGGGUUGAAGGUAGGGCGAGACUGUCAUUACUGUACUCUGGGUUGAAGGUAGGGCGAGACUGUCAUUACUGUACUCUGGGUUGAAGGUGGGGCGAGACUGUCAUUACUGUACUCUGGGUUGAAGGUGGGGCGAGACUGUCAUUACUGUACUCUGGGUUGAAGGUGGGGCGAGACUGUCAUUACUCCACUCUGGGUUGAAGGUGGGGCGAGACUGUCAUUACUCCACUCUGGGUUGAAGGUGGGGCGAGACUGUCAUUACUCCACUCUGGGUUGAAGGUGGGGCGAGACUGUCAUUACUCCACUCUGGGUUGAAGGUGGGGCGAGACUGUCAUUACUCCACUCUGGGUUGAAGGUGGGGCGAGACUGUCAUUACUCCACUCUGGGUUGAAGGUGGGGCGAGACUGUCAUUACUCCUCUCUGGGUUGAAGGUGGGGCGAGACUGUCAUUACUCCUCUCUGGGUUGAAGGUGGGGCGAGACUGUCAUUACUCCUCUCUGGGUUGAAGGUGGGGCGAGACUGUCAUUACUCCUCUCUGGGUUGAAGGUGGGGCGAGACUGUCAUUACUCCUCUCUGGGUUGAAGGUGGGGCGAGACUGUCAUUACUCCUCUCUGGGUUGAAGGUGGGGCGAGACUGUCAUUACUCCUCUCUGGGUUGAAGGUGGGGCGAGACUGUCAUUACUCCUCUCUGGGUUGAAGGUGGGGCGAGACUGUCAUUACUCCUCUCUGGGUUGAAGGUGGGGCGAGACUGUCAUUACUCCUCUCUGGGUUGAAGGUGGGGCGAGACUGUCAUUACUCCUCUCUGGGUUGAAGGUGGGGCGAGACUGUCAUUACUCCUCUCUGGGUUGAAGGUGGGGCGAGACUGUCAUUACUCCUCUCUGGGUUGAAGGUGGGGCGAGACUGUCAUUACUCCUCUCUGGGUUGAAGGUGGGGCGAGACUGUCAUUACUCCUCUCUGGGUUGAAGGUGGGGCGAGACUGUCAUUACUCCUCUCUGGGUUGAAGGUGGGGCGAGACUGUCAUUACUCCUCUCUGGGUUGAAGGUGGGGCGAGACUGUCAUUACUCCUCUCUGGGUUGAAGGUGGGGCGAGACUGUCAUUACUCCUCUCUGGGUUGAAGGUGGGGCGAGACUGUCAUUACUCCUCUCUGGGUUGAAGGUGGGGCGAGACUGUCAUUACUCCUCUCUGGGUUGAAGGUGGGGCGAGACUGUCAUUACUCCUCUCUGGGUUGAAGGUGGGGCGAGACUGUCAUUACUCCUCUCUGGGUUGAAGGUGGGGCGAGACUGUCAUUACUCCUCUCUGGGUUGAAGGUGGGGCGAGACUGUCAUUACUCCUCUCUGGGUUGAAGGUGGGGCGAGACUGUCAUUACUCCUCUCUGGGUUGAAGGUGGGGCGAGACUGUCAUUACUCCUCUCUGGGUUGAAGGUGGGGCGAGACUGUCAUUACUCCUCUCUGGGUUGAAGGUGGGGCGAGACUGUCAUUACUCCUCUCUGGGUUGAAGGUGGGGCGAGACUGUCAUUACUCCUCUCUGGGUUGAAGGUGGGGCGAGACUGUCAUUACUCCUCUCUGGGUUGAAGGUGGGGCGAGACUGUCAUUACUCCUCUCUGGGUUGAAGGUGGGGCGAGACUGUCAUUACUCCUCUCUGGGUUGAAGGUGGGGCGAGACUGUCAUUACUCCUCUCUGGGUUGAAGGUGGGGCGAGACUGUCAUUACUCCUCUCUGGGUUGAAGGUGGGGCGAGACUGUCAUUACUCCUCUCUGGGUUGAAGGUGGGGCGAGACUGUCAUUUCUGUACUCUGGGUUGAAGGUGGGGCGAGACUGUCAUUACUCCUCUCUGGGUUGAAGGUGGGGUGAGACUGUCAUUACUCCUCUCUGGGUUGAAGGUGGGGCGAGACUGUCAUUGCUGUACUCCUCUCUGGGUUGAAGGUGGGGCGAGACUGUCAUUACUCCUCUCUGGGUUGAAGGUGGGGCGAGACUGUCAUUACUGUACUCCUCUCUGGGUUGAAGGUGGGGCGAGACUGUCAUUGCUGUACUCCUCUCUGGGUUGAAGGUGGGGCGAGACUGUCAUUACUGUACUCUGGGUUGAAGGUGGGGCGAGACUGUCAUUACUGUACUCCUCUCUGGGUUGAAGGUGGGGUGAGACUGUCAUUACUGUACUCUGGGUUGAAGGUAGGGUGAGACUGUCAUUACUGUACUCCUCUCUGGGUUGAAGGUAGGGUGAGACUGUCAUUACUGUACUCUGGGUUGAAGGUGGGGUGAGACUGUCAUUACUGUACUCCUCUCUGGGUUGAAGGUGGGGUGAGACUGUCAUUACUGUACUCUGGGUUGAAGGUAGGGUGAGACUGUCAUUACUGUACUCUGGGUUGAAGGUAGGGUGAGACUGUCAUUACUGUACUCUGGGUUGAAGGUAGGGCGAGACUGUCAUUACUGUACUCUGGGUUGAAGGUAGGGUGAGACUGUCAUUACUGUACUCUGGGUUGAAGGUAGGGUGAGACUGUCAUUACUGUACUCUGGGUUGAAGGUAGGGCGAGACUGUCAUUACUGUACUCUGGGUUGAAGGUAGGGCGAGACUGUCAUUACUGUACUCUGGGUUGAAGGUAGGGCGAGACUGUCAUUACUGUACUCUGGGUUGAAGGUAGGGCGAGACUGUCAUUACUGUACUCUGGGUUGAAGGUAGGGCGAGACUGUCAUUACUGUACUCUGGGUUGAAGGUAGGGCGAGACUGUCAUUACUGUACUCUGGGUUGAAGGUAGGGCGAGACUGUCAUUACUGUACUCUGGGUUGAAGGUAGGGCGAGACUGUCAUUACUCCACUCUGGGUUGAAGGUGGGGCGAGACUGUCAUUACUCCACUCUGGGUUGAAGGUGGGGCGAGACUGUCAUUACUCCACUCUGGGUUGAAGGUGGGGCGAGACUGUCAUUACUCCACUCUGGGUUGAAGGUGGGGCGAGACUGUCAUUACUCCACUCUGGGUUGAAGGUGGGGCGAGACUGUCAUUACUCCACUCUGGGUUGAAGGUGGGGCGAGACUGUCAUUACUCCACUCUGGGUUGAAGGUGGGGCGAGACUGUCAUUACUCCACUCUGGGUUGAAGGUGGGGCGAGACUGUCAUUACUCCACUCUGGGUUGAAGGUGGGGCGAGACUGUCAUUACUCCACUCUGGGUUGAAGGUGGGGCGAGACUGUCAUUACUCCACUCUGGGUUGAAGGUGGGGCGAGACUGUCAUUACUCCACUCUGGGUUGAAGGUGGGGCGAGACUGUCAUUACUCCUCUCUGGGUUGAAGGUGGGGCGAGACUGUCAUUACUCCUCUCUGGGUUGAAGGUGGGGCGAGACUGUCAUUACUCCUCUCUGGGUUGAAGGUGGGGCGAGACUGUCAUUACUCCUCUCUGGGUUGAAGGUGGGGCGAGACUGUCAUUACUCCUCUCUGGGUUGAAGGUGGGGCGAGACUGUCAUUACUCCUCUCUGGGUUGAAGGUGGGGCGAGACUGUCAUUACUCCUCUCUGGGUUGAAGGUGGGGCGAGACUGUCAUUACUCCUCUCUGGGUUGAAGGUGGGGCGAGACUGUCAUUACUCCUCUCUGGGUUGAAGGUGGGGCGAGACUGUCAUUACUCCUCUCUGGGUUGAAGGUGGGGCGAGACUGUCAUUACUCCUCUCUGGGUUGAAGGUGGGGCGAGACUGUCAUUACUCCUCUCUGGGUUGAAGGUGGGGCGAGACUGUCAUUACUCCUCUCUGGGUUGAAGGUGGGGCGAGACUGUCAUUACUCCUCUCUGGGUUGAAGGUGGGGCGAGACUGUCAUUACUCCUCUCUGGGUUGAAGGUGGGGCGAGACUGUCAUUACUGUACUCUGGGUUGAAGGUGGGGCGAGACUGUCAUUACUGUACUCUGGGUUGAAGGUGGGGCGAGACUGUCAUUACUGUACUCUGGGUUGAAGGUGGGGCGAGACUGUCAUUACUGUACUCUGGGUUGAAGGUGGGGCGAGACUGUCAUUACUGUACUCUGGGUUGAAGGUGGGGUGAGACUGUCAUUACUGUACUCUGGGUUGAAGGUAGGGUGAGACUGUCAUUACUGUACUCUGGGUUGAAGGUGGGGUGAGACUGUCAUUACUGUACUCUGGGUUGAAGGUGGGGUGAGACUGUCAUUGCUGUACUCCUCUCUGGGUUGAAGGUGGGGUGAGACUGUCAUUGCUGUACUCCUCUCUGGGUUGAAGGUAGGGUGAGACUGUCAUUACUGUACUCUGGGUUGAAGGUGGGGUGAGACUGUCAUUACUGUACUCCUCUCUGGGUUGAAGGUGGGGUGAGACUGUCAUUACUGUACUCUGGGUUGAAGGUGGGGUGACACUGUCAUUACUGUACUCCUCUCUGGGUUGAAGGUAGGGUGAGACUGUCAUUACUGUACUCCUCUCUGGGUUGAAGGUAGGGUGAGACUGUCAUUACUGUACUCCUCUCUGGGUUGAAGGUAGGGUGAGACUGUCAUUACUGUACUCUGGGUUGAAGAUGGGGUGAGACUGUCAUUGCUGUACUCCUCUCUGGGUUGAAGGUAGGGUGAGACUGUCAUUGCUGUACUCCUCUCUGGGUUGAAGGUAGGGUGAGACUGUCAUUGCUGUACUCCUCUCUGGGUUGAAGGUAGGGUGAGACUGUCAUUACUGUACUCUGGGUUGAAGAUGGGGUGAGACUGUCAUUGCUGUACUCCUCUCUGGGUUGAAGGUAGGGUGAGACUGUCAUUACUGUACUCUGGGUUGAAGGUGGGGUGAGACUGUCAUUACUGUACUCCUCUCUGGGUUGAAGGUAGGGUGAGACUGUCAUUACUGUACUCUGGGUUGAAGGUGGGGUGAGACUGUCAUUACUGUACUCUGGGUUGAAGGUGGGGUGAGACUGUCAUUACUGUACUCUGGGUUGAAGGUGGGGUGAGACUGUCAUUACUGUACUCCUCUCUGGGUUGAAGGUGGGGUGAGACUGUCAUUACUGUACUCCUCUCUGGGUUGAAGGUGGGGUGAGACUGUCAUUACUGUACUCUGGGUUGAAGGUAGGGUGAGACUGUCAUUACUGUACUCUGGGUUGAAGGUAGGGUGAGACUGUCAUUACUGUACUCCUCUCUGGGUUGAAGGUAGGGUGACACUGUCAUUACUGUACUCCUCUCUGGGUUGAAGGUAGGGUGAGACUGUCAUUACUGUACUCCUCUCUGGGUUGAAGGUAGGGUGAGACUGUCA
This is a long non-coding RNA of Salvelinus fontinalis (brook trout), 5952 nucleotides long. RefSeq lists it as uncharacterized. The transcript has 3 exons. The record is from RefSeq and is a predicted model, not a curated record. Lineage: Eukaryota; Metazoa; Chordata; Actinopteri; Salmoniformes; Salmonidae.